Molecule: ribosomal RNA, 404 nt
Filed under: uncultured bacterium
Lineage: Bacteria
Description: partial 16S ribosomal RNA
Rfam family: Bacterial small subunit ribosomal RNA
Source: RNAcentral
GACGAACGCUGGCGGCGUGCUUAACACAUGCAAGUCGAGCGGAGCGGCGAACGGGUGCGUAACGCGUGAGUAACUGCCCCACUCUCUGGGAUAACAGUUGGAAACGGCUGCUAAUACCGGAUAGUGGGGGAUGACUCGCGUCCUAUAAGGUUGUUGGUUGGGUAGUGGCCUAACAAGGCGACGACGGGUCGCAGGCCUUAGAGGGCGACCGGCCACAUGGGGAUGAGAGACGGCCCAAACUCCUACGGGAGGCAGCAGUGGGGAAUAUUGCACAAUGGGGGAAACCCUGAUGCAGCAACGCGCGUGCGGGAUGACGGCCUUCGGGUUGUAAACCGCUUUCAGCCAUGACGCGGUAGUGGCAGAAGAAGCACCGGCUAACUACGUGCCAGCAGCCGCGGUAAUAC